UUAAAGUACAACGAAAUUAUCUUGAAACCUAUUUUUUCCUAUGCUGUAUCUGUACAACAGGCCGAGAGAGAUCCUACACCUCUUCAUCGUGCUGCGAAACUUAUCAUCACUUCGCAACUUGAAAAUGGGGACUUUCCGCAACAGGAAAUAUUAGGAGUAUUCAUGAAUACAUGCAUGCUACACUAUGCUACAUACAGAAACACCUUCCCCUUAUGGGCACUCGCUGAAUAUCGAAAAGCUGCCUUCUUAACUCAUCAAGAUCUAUAGCUCUUCCUGAAUAAUCUUUAAAAGAAAUUUGGCUCUUCUUUAAUAAUCUAUACACAAUUCUGUAAAUAUAAAAGAAAGACAAAAUAAUAUUAUUAGGAGAGUGAAGUCAUAAUCUGAGAGACGAGGGUUGAUAUUUGCGCCUAGCAAAAUGUUAGUAGACUUGAUGUUCUUAUGCAAUAUUAGAGACUGUGAACAGUUAUGUUAACAAGAAAGGUAAUGAAAGAGCGUUUUCGUUUGAUUUU
Arabidopsis lyrata subsp. lyrata is the source of this 509-nucleotide long non-coding RNA. RefSeq lists it as uncharacterized. NCBI's taxonomy places the organism in Eukaryota, Viridiplantae, Streptophyta, Magnoliopsida, Brassicales, Brassicaceae. The record is from RefSeq and is a predicted model, not a curated record. The transcript is spliced from 2 exons.